GGAUGCGAUCAUACCAGCACUAAAGCACCGGAUUCCAUCAAAACUCCGAAGUUAAGCGUGCUUGGGCGAGAGUAGUACUAGGAUGGGUGACCUCCUGGGAAGUCCUCGUGUUGCAUUCC
Molecule: ribosomal RNA, 119 nt
Filed under: Triticum aestivum (bread wheat)
Lineage: Eukaryota; Viridiplantae; Streptophyta; Magnoliopsida; Poales; Poaceae
Source: RNAcentral